Paramormyrops kingsleyae is the source of this 2137-nucleotide non-coding RNA. Lineage: Eukaryota; Metazoa; Chordata; Actinopteri; Osteoglossiformes; Mormyridae. The record is from RefSeq and is a predicted model, not a curated record.
GGUACUUUUUGCGAUCGGAUAAAGUUACAAACGACAGGGCCUUCCAGCUGUCGCCCUGAUCAGGAUAAGCUGUUAGACAAUACAUGUCAUAAAUGUAAAAUUUUGGGAGACUGCAUGGUAGCUUGUCCUUUCAUAGGUAAUGAAAUGGAAUCUGUCAUUUUAGGAACAGUGAAGAAUCAAAUGAUUUUUAAAAUAUGUCCUGAUAUAACACGGAGGUAAUUCACAAUGCAAUUAAAGAUAUUCCUGCAUAAUAUUGUCAGUGAAUAUUACAACAUAUUAGUGCCAAUAUAUAAUAAAUAGCAAAACGUGGAUGCCUGUGCAGCUGUGGAUACAAAAUUUAUUACUCAAAAUCAGCUUCAAAGGGUAAUGGUACAUCAGUCUGUAUGUUCUACUUUUGUAGCGCUCUUGAUGUGCUCUUAAGAUUCUGAGGAGAGAUGGAAUCUGAGAAUAUGAGUGUGGAUCAUAGCGACGAGUCCAGGAUUGGACUAGGGUUACGGAAGUGUAAGUCAUUUUUUACUGAACAGCUCCACCCAUUUAAUAUUAUUAAAAUUUCCUCAAACUGAGUUUGAAACGUCUGUGAGCUUACACUGGAUCCCAAAACACCGCAUACAGUUCUGUCUCUGUCUGACGGCAACAGAAGGGUGACAUUUGAGGGAGAGAGACAGUAUAGACCAGGUGGCCCAGGGAAAUUUACCGCCUGGCCUCAAGUCCUGUGUAGCCAGGGUCUCUCUGGUCAAUGUUACUGGGAGGUUGAGUGGACUGGAAAUAGAGCUGAGAUAGGAGUGGCAUACAAAAAGAUAGGCAGGAAUGAUGACACUGCGGUUUGUCGGCUUGGAGCUAAUGAUAAGUCCUGGAUUCUGUGCUGCACCAAUAAUAGCUCCUCAGCUUACCACAAUAAACAGGAAAGUGUCAUCGCUUCUCCGCCCUCCUCCAGAGUAGGAGUCUAUCUGGACUGGGUGGCCGGAACUCUGUCCUUCUACAGCAUCUCCUGUGGGAAAAUGACCCUUUUGCACACGUUCCACUCCCAUUUCACUCAGCCUCUACAUCCAGCAUUUGGGCUGUACACUCUUGGUUGUUCUGUGCACAUUUGCCAGCUGAAAUGACUGUCUUGGGGGGAAAAAAAGACAAGCUACUAGAGAAGACAUCAUAUUCAUACAACUGACUCAUUACGCAUAGAAAAUUAUGGCUGGACUGGGAUUCAAAAUGAGUUUUUUAGCAUGUCAUGAAAAGUUAUACCCCAAUUUCAGCUGAUUCCCAAACUGCACAGAAUGUGUGUAUCCACUCUUCCCUAGAAAAAUGAGCAUGUUUGUACACAAUUGUACACUUCUGCAGGAAAUUGUGUAAUGACUCUAUACAUGUAUGUAUAAUGUACAAUUAUUUGUAAAUCUUGUUGCCCACGAUUAAGAUGUCUUACUCUGUGAAAACCCAGAAUCAGGAUAAGCAUUAACCACUCUGUGAUCUGUAUGCACUAAUUUACAAUGAUGUCGGGAAAAUGUGGUAAACAAUUAUAUAUUUGUGCUUAAACUUUUCUGAAUGCAAGAAUAUUUUUUUUUCUAAAUGUUAAUAUAACGCUUUGUAAUAUGCAACAUUUUCAGUGUUUUCAGUAAGAUUAGAUUCAACAUUCUAAUCCAGCUCUCAGGACAAAACAUACAGAUAAAGUACAUGUUAUAAUUAGGGUCUGGAAACAUUUUUCAAGGUGACAGAAAACUGAAGUCUUAUAUAAUGAUCCUAGAGGUGAGUGAAUUUGCUCAUUAUUAGUCAGCUCUGCCUGGCCUGAUUCCCACACAUCUUUCAAUGACAUUUCCCCUGCCAUACAGAUCAGUUAUAGUUGUUCCUAAGAAACUGAACUUUUUGGGCAGAUGGGUUGGACCACAUGGCUGUGCAAACCAUUUGAGGGUGAUACAGGGCUUUAGAGCAUGAAGACCAAUUUAGAUGUCUUUAUUUGCAUAUUUACACAACAUUGUACAUAUAUACAUUAUAUUGAUGGAAUAUUAUAACAUGCAUGGUUUAAUAUGCAACAAGGAUAUUUUUGUUAGGAUACAAUUAUUUAAUCCUAUUACCGUAUUUGUAUACUUCAAAUGGUCACAUACAAAAUAAAAACGAAUGGUUGAAUAACCAUUUUUACAUUCAAGGUGAA